Molecule: ribosomal RNA, 271 nt
Filed under: Sergentomyia antennata
Lineage: Eukaryota; Metazoa; Arthropoda; Insecta; Diptera; Psychodidae
Description: ITS2 ribosomal RNA
Source: RNAcentral
AAUAUUAAGCAAUUGAAAUUGUUUUUAUACAUAUGUAUAAAACAUUGGGGCUAUGGAAUUUUUUUUAAUUUCAUGCUCUUAAUAUUUUAAAGCACAUUUGAAUGUACCCAAUAUAUAAUAUUAAAAGAUAUAAUAUAUACAAGUGGUAUAUCAUAGUCAUUAGAUAAUUUAUCUUAAAGACAUAUUGUUAUACAGAAAAACUUGUUAUAUUAAAAAGCUUUUAAUAAAAAGGGAUUAUUCAUUAUAAUGUGCUACAAUGAUUUAAUAUUAU